This is a non-coding RNA of Pelobates cultripes (western spadefoot toad), 233 nucleotides long. The record is from the annotation of a GenBank genome assembly. NCBI's taxonomy places the organism in Eukaryota, Metazoa, Chordata, Amphibia, Anura, Pelobatidae.
CUCCAACCUUCUAGCCAUCCUAUCCCCCAGCACAGCAGACCCUCUUCCGUUUAGGUGCAAUCCAUCAUGACUAUACAGGUUGUACCCAACCGCAAAAUCGGCCCAGUGCUCUAAAAACCCCAAACCCUCUUUCCUGCACCAAGACUUUAGCCACGCAUUGACCUCUCUAAUCUCCCACUGCCUUUCUGCUGUAGCGCGCGGCACAGGUAAUAUUUCUGAAAAAAUUACCUUGG